RNAcentral lists this ribosomal RNA (528 nucleotides) under uncultured fungus. Its description in RNAcentral is "SSU rRNA". It matches the Rfam family "Eukaryotic small subunit ribosomal RNA", at positions 288 to 822 of the family's 1831-position model. Lineage: Eukaryota; Fungi. The record is from RNAcentral.
CGAUGGUUCAUUCAAAUUUCUGCCCUAUCAACUUUCGAUGGUAGAGUAGUGGUCUACCAUGGUUUCAACGGGUAACGGGGAAUUAGGGUUCUAUUCCGGAGAGGGAGCCUGAGAAACGGCUACCACAUCCAAGGAAGGCAGCAGGCGCGCAAAUUACCCAAUCCCGACACGGGGAGGUAGUGACAAUAAAUAACAAUAUAGGGCUCUUUUGGGUCUUAUAAUUGGAAUGAGUACAAUUUAAAUCCCUUAACGAGGAACAAUUGGAGGGCAAGUCUGGUGCCAGCAGCCGCGGUAAUUCCAGCUCCAAUAGCGUAUAUUAAAGUUGUUGCAGUUAAAAAGCUCGUAGUUGAACCUUGGGCCUGGCUGGCCGGUCCGCCUCACCGCGUGCACUGGUCCGGCCGGGCCUUUCCUUCUGGGGAGCCGCAUGCCCUUCACUGGGUGUGUCGGGGAACCAGGACUUUUACUUUGAAAAAAUUAGAGUGUUCAAAGCAGGCCUAUGCUCGAAUACAUUAGCAUGGAAUAAUAGAA